RNAcentral lists this long non-coding RNA (320 nucleotides) under Rhinopithecus bieti (black snub-nosed monkey). Its description in RNAcentral is "lncRNA (ENSRBIG00000046498.1)". The record is from RNAcentral. Lineage: Eukaryota; Metazoa; Chordata; Mammalia; Primates; Cercopithecidae.
AACAAUGAAUUUUCAUGCAGAGCUUUCCAUUCUUCUUCUUUGCUAGACAUUGGAAGUCCUUUCUACCUUUUUUUCUCCCGACAAGCUCACAGGACAAGACAAGGCCAAGGCCACAACCUGACUGAUUUGACAGAGGAUGUUAAAGUGAGAGGAUUUGAAGCAGACCAGAAGAGGACAGAAGAUAUUCUCCACUUUUGCUUCCCACCAUCGAUCAAUGAGGAAACCUUCACUAACCAAGCCUCCAGUCACUGACAGUUAACGAUGCAUCUCAAAGCAUCAAUCUCUCCUGCCGCUCACCCUGACAAGUUGGAGAGAAAAAG